This 253-nucleotide ribosomal RNA is filed under the name uncultured bacterium. RNAcentral describes it as "partial 16S ribosomal RNA". It matches the Rfam family "Bacterial small subunit ribosomal RNA", at positions 524 to 776 of the family's 1533-position model. The record is from RNAcentral.
UACGGAGGGGGCUAGCGUUGUUCGGAAUCACUGGGCGUAAAGCGCACGUAGGCGGACCAUUAAGUCGGGGGUGAAAUCCCGGGGCUCAACCCCGGAACUGCCUUCGAUACUGGCGGUCUGGAGGUCGAGAGAGGCGAGUGGAAUUCCGAGUGUAGAGGUGAAAUUCGUAGAUAUUCGGAGGAACACCAGUGGCGAAGGCGGCUCGCUGGCUCGAUACUGACGCUGAGGUGAGAAAGCGUGGGGAGCGAACAGG